UUCAGGUGGCCACGGUGGAUCAGGAGGAAUUCGCCAUUUGAGUGGCCCGAACGGAACCUGCCAUUCGGGGAGCCAGUGAGGAACAGACUGUGGCGAUGGCCAGGUCACGGCAUUGGACACCGCCUCGGGAACGGCCUUGGAUAAGGGCACUGCCUCGGGAACGGCCUUGGACACGGGUAUCGCCUCGGGAACGACCUCGGGAACGGCAUGGGACAAGGACACCGCCUCGGGAACGGCCCUGGACACGGGCAUCGCCUCGGCCUGCGCAUCGGGCACCGCCUCGACCUCCGGAACAGCAUUGGGCACCGCCUCGGCCUCCGGAACCAUCUCGGGCACCGCCUCGGCCUCCGGAACCAUCUCGGGCACCGCC
Long non-coding RNA from Cyprinus carpio carpio, 370 nucleotides. Lineage: Eukaryota; Metazoa; Chordata; Actinopteri; Cypriniformes; Cyprinidae. The record is from Ensembl.